RNAcentral lists this ribosomal RNA (497 nucleotides) under uncultured bacterium. RNAcentral describes it as "partial 16S ribosomal RNA". It matches the Rfam family "Bacterial small subunit ribosomal RNA", at positions 28 to 507 of the family's 1533-position model. The record is from RNAcentral.
GACGAACGCUGGCGGCGUGCCUAAUACAUGCAAGUUGAGCGCUGAAGGUUGGUACUUGUACCGACUGGAUGAGCAGCGAACGGGUGAGUAACGCGUGGGGAAUCUGCCUUUGAGCGGGGGGCAACAUUUGGAAACGAAUGCUAAUACCGCAUAAAAACUUUAAACACAAGUUUUAAGUUUGAAAGAUGCAAUUGCAUCACUCAAAGAUGAUCCCGCGUUGUAUUAGCUAGUUGGUGAGGUAAAGGCUCACCAAGGCGAUGAUACAUAGCCGACCUGAGAGGGUGAUAGGCCACAGUGGGACUGAGACACGGCCCAAACUCCUACGGGAGGCAGCAGUAGGGAAUCUUCGGCAAUGGACGAAAGUCUGACCGAGCAACGCCGCGUGAGUGAAGAAGGUUGUCGGAUCGUAAAACUCUGUUGGUAGAGAAGAACGUUGGUGAGAGUGGAAAGCUCAUCAAGUGACGGGAACUACCCAGAAAGGGACGGCUAACUACGUG